This 460-nucleotide ribosomal RNA is filed under the name uncultured bacterium. Its description in RNAcentral is "partial 16S ribosomal RNA". It matches the Rfam family "Bacterial small subunit ribosomal RNA", at positions 338 to 795 of the family's 1533-position model. The record is from RNAcentral.
CCUACGGGAGGCAGCAGUGAGGAAUAUUGGUCAAUGGACGAGAGUCUGAACCAGCCAAGUAGCGUGAAGGAUGACUGCCCUAUGGGUUGUAAACUUCUUUUAUAUGGGAAUAAAAUGUUCCACGUGUGGGAUUUUGUAUGUACCAUAUGAAUAAGGAUCGGCUAACUCCGUGCCAGCAGCCGCGGUACUACGGAGGAUCCGAGCGUUAUCCGGAUUUAUUGGGUUUAAAGGGAGCGUAGGUGGAUUGUUAAGUCAGUUGUGAAAGUUUGCGGCUCAACCGUAAAAUUGCAGUUGAAACUGGCAGUCGUGAGUACAGUAGAGGUGGGCAGAAUGCGUGGUGUAGCGGUAAAAUGCUUAGAUAUCACGAAGAACUCCGAUUGCGAAGGCAGCUUACUAAACUGCCACUGACAUUGAUGCGCGAAAGUGUGGGUAUCAAACAGGAUUAGAUACCCGGGUAGUC